RNAcentral lists this ribosomal RNA (254 nucleotides) under uncultured bacterium. RNAcentral's name for it is "partial 16S ribosomal RNA". It matches the Rfam family "Bacterial small subunit ribosomal RNA", at positions 524 to 776 of the family's 1533-position model. The record is from RNAcentral.
UACGUAGGGGGCAAGCGUUGUCCGGAUUUAUUGGGCGUAAAGAGCGUGUAGGCGGCUUUACAGGUCCGUUGUGAAAACUCGAGGCUCAACCUCGAGACGCCGGUGGAAACCGUAAAGCUAGAGUCCGGAAGAGGAGAGUGGAAUUCCUGGUGUAGCGGUGAAAUGCGCAGGAUAUCAGGAGGAACACCCGUGGCGAAAGCGGCUCUCUGGGACGGUACUGACGCUGAGACGCGAAAGCGUGGGGAGCAAACAGG